UCCGAAUUGGUGUAGUGGCUAACAUUUGACGCUCUCAACUUCAUCUUGCUGAUGCAGAACAGUACCGUCAAGCCCGGGGUUCGAUUCCCCGAUUCGGAG
Non-coding RNA from Nemania sp. FL0031, 99 nucleotides. Lineage: Eukaryota; Fungi; Ascomycota; Sordariomycetes; Xylariales; Xylariaceae. The record is from the annotation of a GenBank genome assembly.